UAGGCUUUGAUCCUGGCUCAGGAUGAACGCUAGCGGCAGGCGUAAUACAUGCAAGUCGAACGGUAACAGGUCCAGCAAUGGAUGCUGACGAGUGACGCACGGGUGCGUAACACGUAUGCAACCUACCCUUUACUGGGGGAUAACCCCGCGAAAGCGGGGCUAAUACCCCAUAGUAUUAUUAGAUGGCAUCGUUUAAUAAUUAAAGAUUAAUUGGUAAAGGAUGGGCAUGCGUCCCAUUAGUUAGUUGGUAGGGUAACGGCCUACCAAGACGAUGAUGGGUAGGGGUUCUGAGAGGAUUCACCCCCACACUGGUACUGAGACACGGACCAGACUCCUACGGGAGGCAGCAGUAAGGAAUAUUGGGCAAUGGGCGGUAGCCUGACCCAGCCAUGCCGCGUGCAGGAAGACGGCCUUAUGGGUUGUAAACUGCUUUUGUAAGGGAAUAACCUUUCGUACGCUGUAUUUUGUGUUGGACCUUA
Molecule: ribosomal RNA, 479 nt
Filed under: uncultured Flexibacteraceae bacterium
Lineage: Bacteria; Pseudomonadati; Bacteroidota; Cytophagia; Cytophagales; Cytophagaceae
Description: bacterial SSU rRNA
Rfam family: Bacterial small subunit ribosomal RNA
Source: RNAcentral